RNAcentral lists this unclassified non-coding RNA (1036 nucleotides) under Hevea brasiliensis (rubber tree). Lineage: Eukaryota; Viridiplantae; Streptophyta; Magnoliopsida; Malpighiales; Euphorbiaceae. The record is from RNAcentral.
AACCCGACACACUUCUGAACAUAUCGCAUUACCGAUAAUAUCCUAAUACUGUUGAUAGAAACCUGCAUGAAAACCAUCCCAUCUAGGGGCCUUCAAAGGUUGCAUGUCUAAAAGAGCCUUGCAAACCUUAACUGAAGAAACUAGCGAACUCAGUCUAAUGAGAGCAUCCUCACGUAGAUUAGGAAAACAACCCUUAAUAGGACAAGCUGGUGCCAUCGCUACAUCCUCAGAAUAGAGACGUUUAUAAAACUCCAUAGCCAUAUUUUGUAAUUUAGCUUGGUCAUGCACCCAAAUAUCUUCAGCAUUCUUAAGAUGAAGAAUCUAAUUUCGUUGCCUUCGAUUACUUGUCUUAAGGUGAAAAUAGAGGUGUUGCAAUCUCCCCAUUAAUAAAUUCACUCCAAGACUUAUAGCACCGUACCAAUUCCUUCUUAUGAGAGAUAACCUCUAGCUUCUGCAUGAAAUCUUUCUCCUCCUGGAGAAGUCUUGACGUUUGUCUAUAUUGCAGAUGAAAAAUGUUCCCAAUGAUAGAACUAUUCCAAACUUUUAGCCUGUUCGUAAAAUGUCCUACUACUAACAUAAAAGAGGAGUUUGGCUGCUAGUUAUCACGAACCAUAUCCAUGAAUUUAUCAUGUGUCAUCCAGGUAGCCUGGAAGUGGAAUAGACAAUCUUGGAAUUGCAAAUGUCAAACACCAUUGGGCAAUAAAUGUACAAGACAAUAAUCUGAAUGCGUCUUGGGUAAGUGUAGUACAUAGCCAUCAGGGAUACCAAGUCUCCAAUCCCCAUUACAAAUAGCCCGAUCCAAAUGCCCCAUCAUCCUACCCCGAGCCCAAGGAAAAAAAAGGACCCCUGAAAGGAAUCUCCGUCAAACUAGAAGUCUACAUCCACUGCUAGAAAUAAACAACAGAGACUCGAACAAUUAGGAGAGCCUCUUUUCUUGUUUUCAGCCCUAAGGAGAGCAUUCCAUUCCCCGAUAAGAGCCCAUGGACCAACAACUUUAGAAGUCACAUUAUUCAAAGAUGGCCACAAAAGAGCCCUA